RNAcentral lists this ribosomal RNA (425 nucleotides) under uncultured bacterium. RNAcentral describes it as "bacterial SSU rRNA". It matches the Rfam family "Bacterial small subunit ribosomal RNA", at positions 958 to 1398 of the family's 1533-position model. The record is from RNAcentral.
AACGCGAAGAACCUUACCCAGGUUUGACAUCCUGCGAAUUUCUUCGAAAGAAGAAAGUGCUUUUAGAGCGCAGUGACAGGUGGUGCAUGGCCGUCGUCAGCUCGUGUCGUGAGAUGUUUGGUUAAGUCCAUCAACGAGCGCAACCCUUAUGUUUAGUUGAAUUUUUCUAGACAGACUGCCCUGGUAACAGGGAGGAAGGAGGGGAUGAUGUCAGGUCCGUAUCUCCCUUACACCUGGGGCUACAGACACGCUACAAUGGCCGGUACAAAGGGCAGCCAAGUCGCGAGACGGAGCGUAAUCCCAUCAAAACCGGUCCCAGUUCGGAUAGCAGGCUGAAACUCGCCUGCUUGAAGUCGGAAUCGCUAGUAACGGUAAGUCAGCACAUUACCGUGAAUACGUUCCCGGGCCUUGUACACACCGGAGUA